AUGGACACCAAGUUGUCAGAGCAAGCAACCCGACUGGAUCAGGUACAAGUGAAAGUCAAUUUGUCCCAUGCCGCGCAGUUGGGCAAGCAAAAAAUAUGCAGGGUAGUGGGAAGAGUUCCUCGCCGGCUAUUUCCAAGGUUUCCGAUGGAACACCGGGUGCCAAUUCUCUGGCUCAGGCUUGCGCACAACCACGUUUUCCUCAGGUGCACAUUUAGAUACCGCAUGCGGGCCAAGUUGCUUCAGUUGUUGGGGAGGACACUGCUGGGAAAUGCACUUGGAUGCCUAAGAUGGAUUUUUUCGCGCUUUGAUGGCACUGCUGUGAGGAUUUGGCUUGACAAGUGUGAAGCAUUUUUAGCUGUAUCACAUUCCUAA
Molecule: ribosomal RNA, 372 nt
Filed under: Triticum aestivum (bread wheat)
Lineage: Eukaryota; Viridiplantae; Streptophyta; Magnoliopsida; Poales; Poaceae
Description: partial small subunit ribosomal RNA
Source: RNAcentral